This 118-nucleotide ribosomal RNA is filed under the name Amphilophus citrinellus (Midas cichlid). Lineage: Eukaryota; Metazoa; Chordata; Actinopteri; Cichliformes; Cichlidae. The record is from RNAcentral.
GCUUAUGGCCAUACCACCCUGAGCAUGCUCGAUCUCAUUGAUCUCACAAGCCAAGCAAGGUUGGGCCUUUUUAGUAUGUGGAUUGGAGACUGCCUGGGAAUAUCAGAUGCUGUGAGGC